GAGAGUUUGAUCCUGGCUCAGUACGGGAGGCAAGCAAUGGGGAAUAUUGGACAAUGGGGGCAACCCUGAUCCAGCAAUGCCGCGUGAGUGAUGAAGGCUUAGGGUUGUAAAGCUCUUUUACCAGGGAUGAUAAUGACAGUACCUGGAGAAUAAGCUCCG
This 159-nucleotide ribosomal RNA is filed under the name uncultured bacterium. RNAcentral describes it as "partial 16S ribosomal RNA". It matches the Rfam family "Bacterial small subunit ribosomal RNA", at positions 7 to 495 of the family's 1533-position model. The record is from RNAcentral.